ACGACUCUCGGCAACGGAUAUCUCGGCUCUCGCAUCGAUGAAGAACGUAGCGAAAUGCGAUACUUGGUGUGAAUUGCAGAAUCCCGCGAACCAUCGAGUCUUUGAACGCAAGUUGCGCCCGAGGCCGCCCGGCCGAGGGCACGCCUGCCUGGGCGUCACGCAUCGUGCU
This 169-nucleotide ribosomal RNA is filed under the name Magnolia tarahumara. Its description in RNAcentral is "Magnolia pacifica subsp. tarahumara 5.8S ribosomal RNA". It matches the Rfam family "5.8S ribosomal RNA". From Rfam's summary of the family: 5.8S ribosomal RNA (5.8S rRNA) is a component of the large subunit of the eukaryotic ribosome. The record is from RNAcentral. Lineage: Eukaryota; Viridiplantae; Streptophyta; Magnoliopsida; Magnoliales; Magnoliaceae.